This 265-nucleotide long non-coding RNA is filed under the name Nicotiana benthamiana. RNAcentral's name for it is "long non-coding RNA (NBEN_LNC024812)". The record is from RNAcentral. Lineage: Eukaryota; Viridiplantae; Streptophyta; Magnoliopsida; Solanales; Solanaceae.
CCACCUCAGCCUCGCUUCUCGCAUCUUCUCAUCCACCGGGGCCACCCCCACCUUCUCUCGAAUAACUUCAUUCUUAAUCUUAUCUAGCCUGGUGAGACCGCAUAUCCACCUAAGCAUCCUCAUCUCCGCAACCUUCAUUCUCUGAACAUGAGAGCUCUUCAUGGUCCAGCACUCCGCCCCAUACAACAUCGCAGGUCUAACCACGGCUCUAUAGAAUUUCCCCUUGAGUUUGUGUGGAACUUUCUUGUCACACAGGACUCCUGAU